This 71-nucleotide transfer RNA is filed under the name Loxodonta africana (African savanna elephant). It matches the Rfam family "tRNA". Rfam says of the family: Transfer RNA (tRNA) molecules are approximately 80 nucleotides in length. The record is from Rfam by way of RNAcentral. Lineage: Eukaryota; Metazoa; Chordata; Mammalia; Proboscidea; Elephantidae.
GCAGUGGUAGUUCAGUGGUAGAACUCUUACCUUCCAAGCAAGAGACCCGGGUUCGACUCCCAGCCAAGGCA